This 90-nucleotide transfer RNA is filed under the name Sinobacterium norvegicum. RNAcentral describes it as "tRNA-Pro". Lineage: Bacteria; Pseudomonadati; Pseudomonadota; Gammaproteobacteria; Cellvibrionales; Spongiibacteraceae. The record is from RNAcentral.
UGGAUCCGUUGGAUCGGUUGGAUCAGUCGGAUCGGUUGGAUCGGUCGGAUCGGUCGGAUCGGUUGGAUCCGUUGGAUCGGUCGGAUCCGU